AACGAACGCUGGCGGCAUGCCUAACACAUGCAAGUCGAACGAGACCUUCGGGUCUAGUGGCGCACGGGUGCGUAACGCGUGGGAACCUGCCCUUAGGUUCGGAAUAACUCCCCGAAAGGGGUGCUAAUACCGGAUAAUGUCUUCGGACCAAAGAUUUAUCGCCUUUGGAUGGGCCCGCGUUGGAUUAGCUAGUUGGUAGGGUAAAAGCCUACCAAGGCGACGAUCCAUAGCUGGUCUGAGAGGAUGAUCAGCCACACUGGGACUGAGACACGGCCCAGACUCCUACGGGAGGCAGGAGUGGGGAAUAUUGGACAAGGGGCGAAAGCCUGAUCCAGCAACGCCGCGUGAGUGAUGAAGGCCUUAGGGUUGUAAAGCUCUUUUACCCGGGAUGAUAAUGACAGUACCGGGAGAAUAAGCUCCGGCUAACUCCGUG
This 433-nucleotide ribosomal RNA is filed under the name uncultured bacterium. RNAcentral describes it as "partial 16S ribosomal RNA". It matches the Rfam family "Bacterial small subunit ribosomal RNA", at positions 29 to 507 of the family's 1533-position model. The record is from RNAcentral.